Molecule: unclassified non-coding RNA, 668 nt
Filed under: Hevea brasiliensis (rubber tree)
Lineage: Eukaryota; Viridiplantae; Streptophyta; Magnoliopsida; Malpighiales; Euphorbiaceae
Source: RNAcentral
UGCAGCAGAAGCGGCAGCAGCCCUCAGGCUAUCAUAUUGCUGCGGUUGAAUUAGGUUCAUGCACUUGGCAGAAUAAGGGAAAGAAGCAGAACUCAUGAGUUGAGAAGCACCAGCUAACCUCUGCUGUUGAGCAGACUUGGAUCUAAGCAUCUCAUGACACUGCUCCAUCGUGUCAAUCUUGUUAGGUGAAACCACAGAUGUAUUAUCUGAUUCUUCGAUCCCAACAUGAAUAAACCUACAAUUACUCCCAUUCUUGCAGUACCCUCUAGCAAAGUAAAGACAAGGCCUCCAUCCAAAACCGGAACUAGGAUCCUCAGACCCCAUGAUAUCGCUAACGGAGCAGCUCCGCCGGUGGAUAGGCCCACCCCAGUAAGAUGGGAAGUGCAUAGAAUCAGUACCAGCAGCUCCCGCUGCAUUUGGACCUGCCGAAGAGUCCAGUUGAGGGUAAAAAAGAUCUGGGCUUUUGGGUCCAACAUUUGUUGAGCCAUCAUUUAGGAAAGAAAGCUGGUCUUGGAGCUGAAACUCUUCUAGCAAAUCAGAUCCUCCUCCCCUACCAUUAGCAUAGAAAGGUGCAGAGGCAGGAUUAAGAGAACUACCAUUAGGACUAAUCAAGUCCUCAGAGUGGCUUGGAAGGUCAGAGAUAGCACUCCAAGACGAAGAAGCAUUUG